GCAGUGGUGGUUUAGUGGUAGAAUGCUCCCCUUCCAUGUGGGAGACCUGGGUUCAAUUCCUGACCAAUGCA
This 71-nucleotide transfer RNA is filed under the name Loxodonta africana (African savanna elephant). It matches the Rfam family "tRNA". Rfam says of the family: Transfer RNA (tRNA) molecules are approximately 80 nucleotides in length. Their secondary structure includes four short double-helical elements and three loops (D, anti-codon, and T loops). Further hydrogen bonds mediate the characteristic L-shaped molecular structure. tRNAs have two regions of fundamental functional importance: the anti-codon, which is responsible for specific mRNA codon recognition, and the 3' end, to which the tRNAs corresponding amino acid is attached (by aminoacyl-tRNA synthetases). tRNAs cope with the degeneracy of the genetic code in two manners: having more than one tRNA (with a specific anti-codon) for a particular amino acid; and 'wobble' base-pairing, i.e. permitting non-standard base-pairing at the 3rd anti-codon position. Lineage: Eukaryota; Metazoa; Chordata; Mammalia; Proboscidea; Elephantidae. The record is from Rfam by way of RNAcentral.